This is a long non-coding RNA of Onychostoma macrolepis, 940 nucleotides long. RefSeq lists it as uncharacterized. The transcript is spliced from 5 exons. NCBI's taxonomy places the organism in Eukaryota, Metazoa, Chordata, Actinopteri, Cypriniformes, Cyprinidae. The record is from RefSeq and is a predicted model, not a curated record.
ACACAUGACUGCGAUUACUUUUAAAGGAAACGUAUGGACAUUAAUAAGGCUGGUGUUGGAGCAGAGAAGAGCCCAGGGACUCGGUUUUCCCCUCGACUUCAUUUGGCUUUGUGACAGGAUCCAUAACCCUCUCUGAAUCCUAUCAAAUGAUGUGGUAUGAAGUGUCAUCUUCUCUCUGAGCGCUUCUGAAGAGUUUCAUCUCUGCAGGGAACUGUCAUCAGGUUCCUCUUCCUUUCUCUCUCUCCCAUUCCCAUCAAUUGGAUGGGCUAUCAGACAUGUCCAAUCAGAGGCUAGUUCCACUGGUCAGACUGAAGGUGAUCAGCAGGUGAAGUUGCUCCCCUCUGCGUCUCUACUUCCUGUCCCACCAGGGCAGCAUCCUCUCCAUGGUCUUUAUCCAUCCUGAGUGCAGCGAAACAACACAAGUAGUCUCUGAGAUGCACAAAAGGAAUCGGGUGUCAUUGUGGAAUUUCCCCAGGGAUCCCAGAGUGUGCUGUAAAUGAAUGUGGCAUCUCAUUAACAAUCAACAUGAGGUGAAAACAUGAUUAAGUGAGGACAGGAAUUCUGGAAAAUCCAUGAUCAUCGCCUUCACGCAGAGAGCAGACACCUCUGAUCACACCGCCACGUUCUCUCUGGACAUCAGAGAUGUGAAUCCAUAGGAAGAUUAAGUGCGAGCCUCUCUUGGAUGUGAGGAAUCAUCACUGCGCCCUGAAUGCUCCAGCGCCCGGACCGGCUCACCGAACACACUGGCCCGGAACAGAGAACCUGGAGGAGAGCUGAUAAAACUAACGGAGCAGGAGAGGAAGCGAGCGUAUCGAAAAGUCCAACUUCCUGGGUCAGCUUCAAUUUGUAUUCAUGCAUUCAUUUUUUUUUAUGAUUUAUUUCACCCAAGGCUGAGGAAUCAGGCUUGGUGGUAGUGGACCAAGUCCAGUAUUCACUGAUA